RNAcentral lists this ribosomal RNA (157 nucleotides) under uncultured fungus. RNAcentral describes it as "5.8S ribosomal RNA". It matches the Rfam family "5.8S ribosomal RNA". Rfam says of the family: 5.8S ribosomal RNA (5.8S rRNA) is a component of the large subunit of the eukaryotic ribosome. It is transcribed by RNA polymerase I as part of the 45S precursor that also contains 18S and 28S rRNA. Functionally, it is thought that 5.8S rRNA may be involved in ribosome translocation. Lineage: Eukaryota; Fungi. The record is from RNAcentral.
AAACUUUCAACAACGGAUCUCUUGGUUCUGGCAUCGAUGAAGAGCGCAGCGAAAUGCGAUAAGUAAUGUGAAUUGCAGAAUUCAGUGAAUCAUCGAAUCUUUGAACGCACAUUGCGCCCCUUGGUAUUCCGAGGGGCAUGCCUGUUCGAGCGUCAUU